UACGGGGGGAGCAAGCGUUGUUCGGAUUUACUGGGCGUAAAGGGCGCGUAGGCGGCCUGUGCAAGUCAGUUGUGAAAUCUCCGGGCUUAACUCGGAACGGUCAACUGAUACUGCUCGGCUAGAGUGCGGAAGGGGCAACUGGAAUUCUUGGUGUAGCGGUGAAAUGCGUAGAUAUCAGGAGGAACACCGGUGGCGAAGGCGGUUCUCUGGGCAUGUCCUGACGCUGAGGAGCGAAAGUGUGGGGAGCGAACAGG
RNAcentral lists this ribosomal RNA (254 nucleotides) under uncultured bacterium. Its description in RNAcentral is "partial 16S ribosomal RNA". It matches the Rfam family "Bacterial small subunit ribosomal RNA", at positions 524 to 776 of the family's 1533-position model. The record is from RNAcentral.